Molecule: ribosomal RNA, 440 nt
Filed under: uncultured bacterium
Lineage: Bacteria
Description: partial 16S ribosomal RNA
Rfam family: Bacterial small subunit ribosomal RNA
Source: RNAcentral
CCUACGGGAGGCAGCAGUAGGGAAUAUUGCUCAAUGGGGGAAACCCUGAAGCAGCAACGCCGCGUGGAGGAUGAAGGUUUUCGGAUUGUAAACUCCUUUUGUUAGAGAAGAUAAUGACGGUAUCUAACGAAUAAGCACCGGCUAACUCCGUGCCAGCAGCCGCGGUAAUACGGAGGGUGCAAGCGUUACUCGGAAUCACUGGGCGUAAGGAGCGCGUAGGCGGGAUAGCAAGUCAGAUGUGAAAUCCUAUGGCUUAACCCUAGAACUGCAUUUGAAACUGUUAGUCUAGAGUAUGGGAGAGGUAGGUGGAAUGCUUGGUGUAGGGGUAAAAUCCGUAGAGAUCAAGAGGAAUACUCAUUGCGAAGGCGACCUGCUAGAACAUAACUGACGCUGAUGCGCGAAAGCGUGGGGAGCAAACAGGAUUAGAUACCCCAGUAGUC